This 460-nucleotide ribosomal RNA is filed under the name uncultured bacterium. Its description in RNAcentral is "partial 16S ribosomal RNA". It matches the Rfam family "Bacterial small subunit ribosomal RNA", at positions 338 to 795 of the family's 1533-position model. The record is from RNAcentral.
CCUACGGGAGGCAGCAGUGAGGAAUAUUGGUCAAUGGGCGCGAGCCUGAACCAGCCAAGUAGCGUGAAGGAUGACUGCCCUACGGGUUGUAAACUUCUUUUAUAAAGGAAUAAAGUGAGGCACGUGUGCCUUUUUGUAUGUACUUUAUGAAUAAGGAUCGGCUAACUCCGUGCCAGCAGCCGCGGUAAUACGGAGGAUCCGAGCGUUAUCCGGAUUUAUUGGGUUUAAAGGGAGCGUAGAUGGGUUGUUAAGUCAGUUGUGAAAGUUUGCGGCUCAAACGUAAAAUUGCAAUUGAUAAUGGCAGUCUUGAGGACAGGUGAGGGAGGCGGAAUUCGUGGUGUAGCCGUGAAAUGCUUAGAUAUCACGAAGAACUCCGAUUGCGAAGGCAGCUUACUAAACUGCCACUGACAUUGAUGCUCGAAAGUGUGGGUAUCAAACAGGAUUAGAUACCCGAGUAGUC